This 206-nucleotide long non-coding RNA is filed under the name Homo sapiens (human). Its description in RNAcentral is "non-protein coding lnc-BHLHE22-5:1". Lineage: Eukaryota; Metazoa; Chordata; Mammalia; Primates; Hominidae. The record is from RNAcentral.
ACAAAACACUACACUCUGGGUGGCUUAAACAAGAAAAAUUUAUUUUCUCGCAGUUCUGGAAGCUAAAAGUCCAAGAUCAAGGUGUCCACAGGGUUAGUCCAAGAUCAAGGUGUCAACAGGGUUGACUUCUUCCAAGACCUGGCUCCUUGGCUUGUCUUCUCACUGAGUCCUCACCUGACCUUUCCUCCAGAGGCACACAUCCCUUG